RNAcentral lists this ribosomal RNA (138 nucleotides) under uncultured eukaryote. Its description in RNAcentral is "partial 18S ribosomal RNA". It matches the Rfam family "Eukaryotic small subunit ribosomal RNA", at positions 1299 to 1458 of the family's 1831-position model. The record is from RNAcentral.
UGGUGGAGUGAUUUGUCUGGUUAAUUCCGAUAACGAACGAGACCUUAACCUGCUAAAUAGACAGGCCGGCUUUGGCUGGUCGCCGUCUUCUUAGAGGGACUGUCAGCGUCUAGCUGACGGAAGUUUGAGGCAAUAACA